Molecule: ribosomal RNA, 729 nt
Filed under: Alteromonas macleodii
Lineage: Bacteria; Pseudomonadati; Pseudomonadota; Gammaproteobacteria; Alteromonadales; Alteromonadaceae
Description: bacterial SSU rRNA
Rfam family: Bacterial small subunit ribosomal RNA
Source: RNAcentral
AGUGGCGGACGGGUGAGUAAUGCUUGGGAACUUGCCUUUGCGAGGGGGAUAACAGUUGGAAACGACUGCUAAUACCGCAUAAUGUCUUCGGACCAAACGGGGCUUCGGCUCCGGCGCAAAGAGAGGCCCAAGUGAGAUUAGCUAGUUGGUAAGGUAACGGCUUACCAAGGCGACGAUCUCUAGCUGUUCUGAGAGGAAGAUCAGCCACACUGGGACUGAGACACGGCCCAGACUCCUACGGGAGGCAGCAGUGGGGAAUAUUGCACAAUGGGGGAAACCCUGAUGCAGCCAUGCCGCGUGUGUGAAGAAGGCCUUCGGGUUGUAAAGCACUUUCAGUUGUGAGGAAAAGUUAGUAGUUAAUACCUGCUAGCCGUGACGUUAACAACAGAAGAAGCACCGGCUAACUCCGUGCCAGCAGCCGCGGUAAUACGGAGGGUGCGAGCGUUAAUCGGAAUUACUGGGCGUAAAGCGCACGCAGGCGGUUUGUUAAGCUAGAUGUGAAAGCCCCGGGCUCAACCUGGGAUGGUCAUUUAGAACUGGCAGACUAGAGUCUUGGAGAGGGGGAGUGGAAUUCCAGGUGUAGCGGUGAAAUGCGUAGAUAAUCUGGAGGAACAUCAGUGGCGAAGGCGACUCUCCUGGCCAAAGACUGACGCUCAUGUGCGAAAGUGUGGGUAGCGAACAGGAUUAGAUACCCUGGUAGUCCACACCGUAACGCUGUCUACUAGCUGU